UAUGCAUUGGUGCACUCAAGCAUUUUCUGUUCUAUGAGAUCACUAAUCUGGUCACAGUGUACGCACUGAUUACAUGCUGCUAUAUGGGAGAGCAGUCUACUCUCUUCCCCUCUUGCUGCAGGUCAAGCUGCUUAUUAAAUGAGAGAACAUGGUCAUGAUGCCUUCUGAUAGUGGAAUGCAUGGAUUAAGAUGCUCAAGGGAAAAUGGAACAAACAUGAUCACCACAUCUGCAAUGUGAGGUGUCAGUACUAUUGUAACUCAGAGAUAAUGUCCUGCAGUAUGCUGAGUGUGCUCUUAGAGAAGAAAAAAGCCUUCAGAGAAACAAGCCUACAUUUGCUGCUAUAUCAGGCAAACCACCAGGAUGGAUCCCAGCAACAAGAAAAAGAAAACCUCAAGGGUUGACCGUUCAAAUAUGCUAAUGGAAUGUUGAUUGUCUUCACACUGCAUGGGGGUUAAAAUCAAAAUCAAUGGAACCACCACCCUCCCCUGUAGGUAACUUUUACUUUUCAAUCAGCUGCUCCAUUUCUCACACAAUGAAUUGAUUAAUACCUUUUGUUAUUUUAGUCUUAGAUAGUAAGAAACCUAUCUUACACACCAAAUCUAAAGUCAAUGGUUUUAUGUACAGAAUUAUUGUUUCUUUGGAAACAGAUGGAGACUCCAAAUUUACUUCAUAGUAAAGCUGUCUUUAAAUGAAUGUAGAAGGCUGUUUUCAUUUAUGCAGAAGGAUGUUUUAAUCUAACAUGAUCUUUCCUCUUUGCAUUUCAAAAAAUAAAAUGAACCACCAGAGAGAUUUGCCAUACAUAAUAAUCUCCAAAUGUGUAGUUUGCUAGAACAUCAACUCCCCAGUACAUCAUUCUUGAAAAGAAACUUGAAAAUAUGGAAACAAAUUGAUUCUUAACUGAAUUAGGAAUG
Molecule: non-coding RNA, 912 nt
Organism: Coturnix japonica (Japanese quail)
Lineage: Eukaryota; Metazoa; Chordata; Aves; Galliformes; Phasianidae
Source: RefSeq, a predicted model, not a curated record